ACAAGAUUGGAUUUGGAUUACCACCUAGUGGCGGACGGGUGAGUAACACGUAGGUGACCUGCCUCACACUGGGGGAUAACAGUUAGAAAUAGCUGCUAAUACCGCAUAAGCGCACAGUUCCGCAUGGAACAGUGUGAAAAACUCCGGUGGUGUGAGAUGGACCCGCGUCUGAUUAGCUAGUUGGCAGGGCAACGGCCUACCAAGGCGACGAUCAGUAGCCGACCUGAGAGGGUGACCGGACACAUUGGGACUGAGACACGGCCCAAACUCC
This 271-nucleotide ribosomal RNA is filed under the name uncultured Lachnospiraceae bacterium. Its description in RNAcentral is "partial 16S ribosomal RNA". It matches the Rfam family "Bacterial small subunit ribosomal RNA", at positions 66 to 339 of the family's 1533-position model. The record is from RNAcentral. Lineage: Bacteria; Bacillati; Bacillota; Clostridia; Lachnospirales; Lachnospiraceae.